This 369-nucleotide RNase P RNA is filed under the name Hyphomicrobium sp. RNAcentral's name for it is "Bacterial RNase P class A". It matches the Rfam family "Bacterial RNase P class A". From Rfam's summary of the family: Ribonuclease P (RNase P) is a ubiquitous endoribonuclease, found in archaea, bacteria and eukarya as well as chloroplasts and mitochondria. The record is from Rfam by way of RNAcentral. Lineage: Bacteria; Pseudomonadati; Pseudomonadota; Alphaproteobacteria; Hyphomicrobiales; Hyphomicrobiaceae.
GAAGCGAGCCUGGCCGCCGCUGGCAUCGCCUUCGGGCGGAGCUGGAGGAAGGUCCGGACUGCACAGGGCGGCGUAGCAGUCAACGGCUGUCCACCGUGAGGUGAGGAUCAGAGCAACAGAGACGAGUCGGCGGCGGCCGCAAGGCAGGCGCCGGGUGAAACGGGCAAUCUCUACGCGCAGCAAUACCAAAUAGGCCGGCGUGGCCGCGCGAGUCUCGACUCGCCCGGCUGGAAGUGUGGCUCCGCACGAGCCGGCGGGUAGGUAGCACCGAGCCGGGAAGGUAUGCCCGGCCCAGAGGAUUGGCGGUCACGGACGGGCGGCGAAAGGGGCCCGUCCGCACAGAAUCCGGCCUAUCGGCUCGCUUCACAC